RNAcentral lists this long non-coding RNA (1387 nucleotides) under Sinocyclocheilus grahami. RNAcentral's name for it is "lncRNA (ENSSGRG00000009141.1)". Lineage: Eukaryota; Metazoa; Chordata; Actinopteri; Cypriniformes; Cyprinidae. The record is from RNAcentral.
AUAAAAUAAAAUCUAAAUAUUAGAUGAAAAGCGUCUAUAAUACUGAUUCUUAGGCACAAUGCAAACAGCCAACGUCAAUGUUCAAUAUACAUUUGACAUAUAUUUACGUUUAAUAAUAACAAUCAGAAUAAACUGUUCUGUUAUUCAGUGCAUUAAUAUAGACUGUGCAUCGUAUAGAUGUGUAAUCAUCAGCAUUUUAUACCAGCUUUUAUAACAUUUUAUAAUCGUGUGUUGUUUUUUUGUGUGUUUACAGAGUCUGAAGACACAAACCCUGAGACAGCAUCCGCUGAAGAGGAACCUGCUGGAGAAGAAGCUGGAGCAGAAGCUGGAGCAGAAGCAGGAGCAGAAGCAAAUAAAAAAAUCCUAAUAAAAUUACAAUAGCACAACAAAAAUAAAAUGAAAACUGAACAAAUGAAAGUAAAAAAACAAAGCGAUGCAGUGUUUAAGAAGCACUUGCUGUGGAUGCACAGUCAGACUGGACCUGGAGGACUUAUGUUUAUGUUAUGUUUAAACUUGUGUUUAGCAUCCGCUGAAGAGGAACCUGCUGGAGAAGAAGCUGGAGCAGAAGCUAAAGGACAGUCACUUAUUACUUAAAUUAUAUAAAGCACAGAAAACAAAUGUAAUUUAGAUUUAUAACACUAUACUUUGUGUUCUUUUACCUUUGCAUGAAAUUACAGAAAGAAAAAAAAAGAACAGCGAAUAUGACUCUAUUUUGGAAAGUCAUUGAAACACUAUCGCAGUUUUGUUUUCCUUUUGCAAAAACGAUAUUAGUUGUAGUUUCCGUUCAUCGCUACAGAAGUCUACCCAACUGUGACUGUUUCUGAGAAGAGUGCUUUAUGAUGCUUUUCUAUUUCUAUUGAAAUCACUCGAGCAUCAAAUCCUCGUUUUCUGAGUCACUUCCGGUGGAGAAAAGAAUAAAACCACUGACUUUUAAGGCUUUAAGGUUUAGAAACAGAGCUCAGAUCAGCUCCGGUGUCCAGUGAAAUGAGUUUGUUUGUUUGUUUGCAUGCGUGUCGUCUGCAGGGGAAGCAGAUGCAGACGCAGAUACUGAAGCAGGUGCGUUUCUCUGGAGCUGAAGCAAUGUCAAAUGUGAACAUGGUCAAUAUAACACUUAUUCCAGGAACAACGGAAACUUAGAUCAGCGUUUGCUUUAAUCCAGCAUGCUUUAGAAAAUAAACACUGAAACGAAGAGUGUUCAUAUUUCACAUUAUUUACGUUGGGCGAAUCUUAUGAAACCUGUGGUCACAUCAUCCUAUACUCAAAAGAAAAAAAUUGGAUAUUUUAUUUAACAUAAAAAAAAUAGGCAUGUUAAAUUUUUUUAUAUACUUUUGCUGUAUUUAUAUUUUAUAUUUACAUUAUUUUUGUGAAGCAUUAAUCACAUUUUCCC